UUUUUUUUUUUCUUGGAUUAAUUUAAUACACAUUCCUGAAUGAUAAAUAUAUCCCUACAAGUUCAACUUUUAUAUAUUGUACUUAUAAAAGUUCUGAUAUUUUCAAAUAUGUCUCUAUUAUUAGAAUCCGUUAAAGAAAUUUAAUUACACAUAGAUUAAAUACUUGAUCCUGAUUAAUUUUUGACGUUUUUACCCCUAUAUAUUAUAGGGUUAUAAUUUUAGAGAGAUAUAUUAAUGAUGACAAAAUUGAAAAUAUAAAUAGUUCUCUAACAGUAAUAAAUCAGAGGAAUAUAUUUACAAAAAUUAGAACUUUUGAAAAAAAAAAUAUACAAAAGUUAAACUUUAUAUAGGGAUAUAUUUAUCAUUAACUAUGUUUGCUGGAACCCGUAUGACAUUAACCUCUUUUUUUUCGACAAAUUAGAUUCGUCCAUAUCAUAAUUCCAACACAACAGUA
RNAcentral lists this long non-coding RNA (454 nucleotides) under Ananas comosus (pineapple). RNAcentral describes it as "long non-coding RNA (ACOM_LNC015523)". Lineage: Eukaryota; Viridiplantae; Streptophyta; Magnoliopsida; Poales; Bromeliaceae. The record is from RNAcentral.